Loxodonta africana (African savanna elephant) is the source of this 137-nucleotide small nucleolar RNA. Ensembl annotates it as small nucleolar RNA SNORD94. Its record names the gene SNORD94. The record is from Ensembl. Lineage: Eukaryota; Metazoa; Chordata; Mammalia; Proboscidea; Elephantidae.
CAGGCUAUGAUGAUUGGCGCAGGGGUACGGACCUCAGCUGAGCCAUGGGAGCUGGAUGUCUGUGUUUCUCCUUCGUCCUGCACGUGGCAGGUUGAUGGUGAACACUUACAUGAGACUGAUGCCUCAAUCUGAGCCUG